CUCAACUAAGGUACGGGGGUAGAUACUGCAUAGCUAGAGGUAGUUAGAGGCCAAUGGAAUUCCCGGUGGAGGGGUGAAAUCCGUUGAUAUCGGGAAGAAUGCCGAAAGCGAAAGCAGUUGGCUAUAACUAACCUGACGGUCAGGGACGAAAGCUUGGAUAGCAAACAGGAUUAGAUACCCUGGUAGUCCAAGCCGUAAAUGAUGCUCGCUAGGUGUUUCCUUAAUUUAAGGGAGUGCCGUAAGCUAACGCGUUAAGCGAGCCGCCUGAGGAGUAUAGUCGCAAGACCGAAACUCAAAGGGAUAGGCGGGGGAAUACACAAGUGGUGGAUCGUUUCGAUUAAUUGGAUAAUGAGCCAAGAAUCUUACCCGGGCUUGACAUAUAAUCUGUCCCCUGUGAAAGCAGGGUAUCCUAACUUUGUUAGGAGGG
Molecule: ribosomal RNA, 427 nt
Filed under: uncultured archaeon
Lineage: Archaea
Description: bacterial SSU rRNA
Rfam family: Bacterial small subunit ribosomal RNA
Source: RNAcentral